RNAcentral lists this microRNA precursor (75 nucleotides) under Procavia capensis (Cape rock hyrax). RNAcentral describes it as "miRNA (ENSPCAG00000019983.1)". The record is from RNAcentral. Lineage: Eukaryota; Metazoa; Chordata; Mammalia; Hyracoidea; Procaviidae.
GUGGGUUUAUGUGUAGUAUGUGUGUGUGUGUAUAUGGACAUGCGCAUGCACACACAGACACAUACACACACAUAU